Long non-coding RNA from Tympanuchus pallidicinctus (lesser prairie-chicken), 628 nucleotides. RefSeq lists it as uncharacterized. The transcript is spliced from 3 exons. The record is from RefSeq and is a predicted model, not a curated record. NCBI's taxonomy places the organism in Eukaryota, Metazoa, Chordata, Aves, Galliformes, Phasianidae.
AACCUGUCCUUUUAGUACAGAAUCUUUACACUUGUUCCAGUUCCUCUAUAUCCUCUCUGGGAUGAGGAAUUGCGUAGGGCAUUCAAGAUGCAGGAGCAGAGUGGAUUUCUUGUGCAACAUUCUGAAUCACCAAGGUUGGAGAAGACCAUCAAGAUCAUCCAGUCCAACCAUCCACCUGUCACCAACAGCUCUCACUAAACCAUGCCCCUCAACACAAAAUCCAAUAUACAUUUCCUGCCAUUUUAUCUGCAAUUCUUCAUGGUUUCCCAACAAAUUUUAGAAAGCCCCUGGCAGCUACUGAGGAUGAAGGCUCAUCAUAAAGUGUGUUUUACUGGUGGGAAGAUGACUGUCUACAAGAUUUUCAAUUUUAUCUAAUGGCAUUCAGCUCAGAGGCAUCAAAAUUUCUCUCUGGAGCCAAUUGCAUGUUUCUUCAGUUUGGUUUCCAAAAAAAAGCUGCUUUUUACAGACAGAAGCCUUACUGGGGAGCUUGACUAUUCACUUGUUGCUCUCAUAUUGGAGAGGGCGUGAUGUAGACCUUACCUGCUAAUGAGGAAUCAGCGAUGAGAUUUGAGCACUAAGGCAAUGUGCUUUCAGUAGUUACUUUUGCUAGGUAGAAGGACUUGUGUUU